This is a long non-coding RNA of Drosophila albomicans, 184 nucleotides long. RefSeq lists it as uncharacterized. The transcript has 3 exons. The record is from RefSeq and is a predicted model, not a curated record. NCBI's taxonomy places the organism in Eukaryota, Metazoa, Arthropoda, Insecta, Diptera, Drosophilidae.
AAACUUUUUAAAUAUCAUUUUAUACAUUUUAUUAAUAUAAUGAGAUACGAUUUUGAAUUUAACUUGAGAAAAAAAUUUUUUGGACUUGGUGAAUUUUUUAUUGAACUGCAGCCAUAUGAUAUGAGGUUCUACCGAAAUAUGAGUUCAACUUUGACAAAAAAUUUCAACAUAUGAAAAUUGAAGA